Molecule: RNA transcript, 2486 nt
Organism: Suricata suricatta (meerkat)
Lineage: Eukaryota; Metazoa; Chordata; Mammalia; Carnivora; Herpestidae
Gene: DPF1
Gene name: double PHD fingers 1
Exons: 12
Source: RefSeq, a predicted model, not a curated record
ACUGCGCGCUCCCUUCGCCCCACCUCUGCACCCGCUUCUCCGCGGGGUCCCGCCGGUCCCCGGGCCCGGGACUACCACUCCCAGCAUGGCCCGGGCGGGCCCGCCCCGCCGUCGUGAUUGGCUGUGGUCCCGCUGCUCCCGCCCCGCGGGAAUGAAUGGAUGGGCGGCCUCAGCGCCCGCCCGAGCGCUGGGAGGACCGACCCGGCGGGGACCUGCUGGGGGCAGGACCCGGGGAGCAAGAUGGCCACGGUCAUCCCCGGCCCCCUGAGCCUAGGCGAGGACUUCUACCGGGAGGCCAUUGAGCACUGCCGCAGCUACAACGCGCGCCUGUGCGCCGAGCGCAGCCUGCGCCUGCCCUUCCUCGACUCGCAGACUGGCGUGGCCCAGAACAACUGCUACAUCUGGAUGGAAAAGACCCACCGCGGCCCCGGUUUGGCCCCGGGACAGAUCUACACGUACCCGGCACGCUGUUGGAGAAAGAAACGGAGACUCAACAUCCUGGAGGACCCCAGACUCCGGCCCUGCGAGUACAAGAUCGAUUGUGAGGCACCCCUGAAGAAGGAGGGCGGCCUCCCCGAAGGGCCAGUCCUGGAGGCGCUACUGUGUGCUGAGACAGGGGAGAAGAAGAUUGAGUUGAAGGAGGAGGAGACCAUUAUGGACUGCCAGAAACAGCAGCUGCUGGAGUUUCCACAUGAUCUCGAGGUAGAAGACUUGGAGGAUGACAUUCCCAGGAGGAAGAACAGGGCUAAAGGAAAGGCAUAUGGCAUCGGGGGUCUCCGGAAACGCCAGGACACCGCAUCCCUGGAGGACCGAGACAAGCCGUAUGUCUGUGAUAUCUGUGGGAAACGGUAUAAGAACCGGCCAGGGCUCAGCUACCACUACACCCACACCCACCUGGCUGAGGAGGAGGGGGAGGAGAACGCCGAGCGCCACGCCCUGCCCUUCCACCGGAAAAACAACCAUAAACAGUUUUACAAAGAAUUGGCCUGGGUCCCUGAGGCACAGAGGAAACACACAGCCAAGAAGGCACCCGACGGCACUGUCAUCCCCAACGGCUACUGUGACUUCUGCCUGGGGGGCUCCAAGAAGACGGGGUGUCCCGAGGACCUCAUCUCCUGUGCUGACUGUGGGCGAUCAGUUUACGGUGAACAUGACAGCGGCCGUGCGGACCUACCGCUGGCAGUGCAUCGAGUGCAAGUCCUGCAGCCUGUGCGGCACCUCGGAGAACGACGGUGCCAGCUGGGCGGGUCUCACCCCCCAGGACCAGCUGCUGUUUUGUGACGACUGCGACCGGGGUUACCACAUGUACUGCCUGAGCCCCCCCAUGGCGGAGCCCCCGGAAGGGAGCUGGAGUUGUCACCUCUGUCUUCGGCACCUGAAAGAGAAGGCCUCUGCCUACAUCACCCUCACCUAGGCCUGGCUCGGCGCACCUGGACCUCUGGGGUGGUGCUCACCCAUCUGCCUCUCGGAGCUCCUCCACGCUCUCUGUGCCCUCAGCGCCCCACAGUGGAGGGGAACAGGGGGAGCCCGAGAGGGGGCUAGGCCACCCCUUCCCUCUGUGCAGGUGGAAUGUUUGCCCUGUGGGUUGGUGCCCCUCUCCCUUCCUCCCUCCUUCCCCAUCCCUUGGCGAAUGGGCACCGGGAGCUUCUGCUCCCCUCAAAGCCAUACCCCGCCUCUGGGCGGGCAUGAGGGGUGGUAGAUGCCAGCCCGGGGCAUGGACACAACGUUUUUCUAAAGAAAAAGUCAAAAAGCUAAAAAAAAAAAAAAAGAAAAGAAAAAAGAAAUUAAUAUAUACAAAGAGUCCUAUAAGGCCUGGCUGGGUGGAGGGGGCGCUGGCGAGUGCAUCCGCUGGGCACCCGGCUCUGCCAGCUUCCUGCCUAGCAGCCCCUCCCCCCAGUUUCUGGAGUUGCAGCUGUCCCACCUCCUCACCCAGUGUGGGCACCAGCCCCCCUUGUGCCCAGGGCAGGUGGGUGUGGUGCCCACCCUCGCCCCCCCUUGGUGCCCACCGUGGAUACUGCAUGAUGUGAACCAUGGUUUUGAACUCCGUUCUUGCUCCCUCCCUGAGAGCCCCACCCUGCCCGCUCUCUGCCCGCCGCCUGCCCUGGCUGGCGGGCGUCGGCUGGGGGGCAAGGCGGGCCCCUGCCCAGCGCCCGCUGGAAUGAGAAGCACAGACUCUACAAUGGACUAGUUUUUCCCUCUUCCCCCGCUCCAGUUCCCCACCGGCCAGGCCGGGCUGCCCCCUGCCACCCUCGCUGGCCAUUUUGGGGGUAGCGAGGGGGCGUGGUUGUUUCUUGUGGUUGUGUGUUUGUUGUUCGGGUUAAAAAAAAAGGGAAAUUGAGACUGCAAGUGGGGGGAGGUGGUGGGUUCGGGGGUCUCCCCCAAUCCAAGCAUGCCCCCCCUUGUAAACGAGUCUCCUUUAUUGCCUGCCUCUGCUGUGAAUUAACUUGUUCUGUGUAUUAAACUGGGUCUGACCCCUCUGCCCACGA